This 1412-nucleotide ribosomal RNA is filed under the name bacterium ACCC1. RNAcentral's name for it is "bacterial SSU rRNA". It matches the Rfam family "Bacterial small subunit ribosomal RNA". The record is from RNAcentral.
UACUGCAAGUCGAGCGAACGGACGAGAAGCUUGCUUCUCUGAUGUUAGCGGCGGACGGGUGAGUAACACGUGGAUAACCUACCUAUAAGACUGGGAUAACUUCGGGAAACCGGAGCUAAUACCGGAUAAUAUUUUGAACCGCAUGGUUCAAAAGUGAAAGACGGUCUUGCUGUCACUUAUAGAUGGAUCCGCGCUGCAUUAGCUAGUUGGUAAGGUAACGGCUUACCAAGGCAACGAUGCAUAGCCGACCUGAGAGGGUGAUCGGCCACACUGGAACUGAGACACGGUCCAGACUCCUACGGGAGGCAGCAGUAGGGAAUCUUCCGCAAUGGGCGAAAGCCUGACGGAGCAACGCCGCGUGAGUGAUGAAGGUCUUCGGAUCGUAAAACUCUGUUAUUAGGGAAGAACAUAUGUGUAAGUAACUGUGCACAUCUUGACGGUACCUAAUCAGAAAGCCACGGCUAACUACGUGCCAGCAGCCGCGGUAAUACGUAGGUGGCAAGCGUUAUCCGGAAUUAUUGGGCGUAAAGCGCGCGUAGGCGGUUUUUUAAGUCUGAUGUGAAAGCCCACGGCUCAACCGUGGAGGGUCAUUGGAAACUGGAAAACUUGAGUGCAGAAGAGGAAAGUGGAAUUCCAUGUGUAGCGGUGAAAUGCGCAGAGAUAUGGAGGAACACCAGUGGCGAAGGCGACUUUCUGGUCUGUAACUGACGCUGAUGUGCGAAAGCGUGGGGAUCAAACAGGAUUAGAUACCCUGGUAGUCCACGCCGUAAACGAUGAGUGCUAAGUGUUAGGGGGUUUCCGCCCCUUAGUGCUGCAGCUAACGCAUUAAGCACUCCGCCUGGGGAGUACGACCGCAAGGUUGAAACUCAAAGGAAUUGACGGGGACCCGCACAAGCGGUGGAGCAUGUGGUUUAAUUCGAAGCAACGCGAAGAACCUUACCAAAUCUUGACAUCCUUUGACAACUCUAGAGAUAGAGCUUUCCCCUUCGGGGGACAAAGUGACAGGUGGUGCAUGGUUGUCGUCAGCUCGUGUCGUGAGAUGUUGGGUUAAGUCCCGCAACGAGCGCAACCCUUAAGCUUAGUUGCCAUCAUUAAGUUGGGCACUCUAAGUUGACUGCCGGUGACAAACCGGAGGAAGGUGGGGAUGACGUCAAAUCAUCAUGCCCCUUAUGAUUUGGGCUACACACGUGCUACAAUGGACAAUACAAAGGGCAGCGAAACCGCGAGGUCAAGCAAAUCCCAUAAAGUUGUUCUCAGUUCGGAUUGUAGUCUGCAACUCGACUACAUGAAGCUGGAAUCGCUAGUAAUCGUAGAUCAGCAUGCUACGGUGAAUACGUUCCCGGGUCUUGUACACACCGCCCGUCACACCACGAGAGUUUGUAACACCCGAAGCCGGUGGAGUAACCUUUUAG